Molecule: long non-coding RNA, 412 nt
Organism: Vigna angularis (adzuki bean)
Lineage: Eukaryota; Viridiplantae; Streptophyta; Magnoliopsida; Fabales; Fabaceae
Exons: 2
Source: RefSeq, a predicted model, not a curated record
AAAAAACAAGGCCUAUUCUCUGGUGAAAGUGAAAAUUAUUCAACAAAGUAGGAACAAAUGGUGAGAGAAUUGAGAGAGGUGAAAAUUGUGGAUGCAAAUAUUGGUUUCUAUGAUGGUGUUUCCAAGGAGAAAAGUUCUGCAGCAGAUGAAGAGCCUUAUGGAGCUGCAUGUGGUGCAGGAUGUGGUGCUGGAUGUGGUGCCUAGAGAUCUUGUUUUGCUGCUAUCAACUUCAUGCAUAGAUAUCUAGAAGAGUGAACUUCAGUGGCUAUUGUAGUCUUAGUUUCUUAUAUUUCACAUCGCAGCUUGUUGCUAAGGACUAUGAUUAUUAGUAUGGUAAGUUUGCUGACUGUUUUACUUGCAAAUGUAAGCUGAGAAGUUCUGCAAUGGAUUUUGAAUAUGAACUUUGAUCUCA